This is a non-coding RNA of Heterocephalus glaber (naked mole-rat), 3133 nucleotides long. The record is from RefSeq and is a predicted model, not a curated record. Lineage: Eukaryota; Metazoa; Chordata; Mammalia; Rodentia; Bathyergidae.
GAAUCUGUGUGUGGGGAUGAAAACUCACCAGCUCCUCACAGCACAGUGGGAGAGUGGGGGCCACCCCUUCACUCACUGGAUCCCUGUAAUUCCCCAUGCCCAAUGGAGCCUUGUCCUUCUCCCAGAACUGUUGUAUGAAAGGCCAUGCCCAUACAGAGGCCAAAAUGGGCCAUAACAAGAGGCCAUCUAUUGGGUGGGUCCAACAACAGACAUUCAUGUCCUCACAGUUCUGAGGCUGGACAUCUAAAAGGAGGUGCUUGUAGGGCUGGUUUCUGGGGAACCUCCCUUCCUGACUUUCGGACAGCUGCCUUCUUGCUGAUUCCUCACAUGCAUUCUUCUCUGUGCACGCAUGGGAGAGAGAGAGAGCAUGGCAUUUCUUAUUAUUAUGAGGACACCAGACCUCUGGGAUUAUAACCCACCCCUACAACCUCAUUUAGCCUUAAUUUCCUCCUUAAAGGCUCUAACUUGAAUUAGGGCCUUGGAAUUGCUUCAGCAUAUGAAUUGGAGGUGGGGCCAUCACAGGCCAUAACUGGUUUCCACAGCUGUAACUCCCCCAGUGUCCCUUACCCAUUGGGUAGGAGCUCAGGGACACAAAUAAGAACAGGAGCACCAAGAGUCAGCCCUGAGCGAAGAUCAGUGCAUCCUCAAGGGCUUCUAAGCCUUUCCUUGAUGCUCCUGGGCUCCUGGGGAAGCAGAUGCUGCUUCCAGAAAUUUCAUUACCUUCUUUUUCCUUCUCUGAAGUUCAUGCCUCUACCCCAAUGAUCAGUACCGGGUACCACCUCGUCAGCCAGGACAGGACCUUGACCUCUCUGCCCAGCUGGCUAUGUUUUCUGGGCUUUGCGUGGCUCCUUGGUCAACAGAAUGCAAGGCGAUGGUGGUCAGGAAAUGGAAAACAAAAAUUCAGCAACAGUGGGUGGCAGGCAUGGGACAGAGAGAACAGUAGGAUGGAGUCAUUUCCAGUCACUGUUCUUCGGUCCUGCAUGGCAGAUUCAGGGGAGAGCUGGGAAAUGAAGGAGAUUUCUGAGCAAGGAUGUGUUCCAGGAGAGAAAAAGGAUGUGUUCCAGGACAGAAAAAAGGAUGUGUUCCAGUCCUUCCAUCUAUGCUGCUCCUUGCCCCAACCAAGAUGGCAGCAGAUCUUGGACGGUUACAAGCAAUCGGAACACAGUGGUCCUUACAAGGUCUCUGGACAGUAAAACAGACAGGAAGAAGAGAGCAAGAGUCCUGUGGUUUACCGGAGAGAGGCAUGGGCAGGUGGAAAGGCUGCCUUAGAUAGAUUCCAGGUGACAUGUGAAGGAUAUACAAAUAACGGCGGGACAAUAGCAUAAAAUAACAGUAGAGAUUUAAGAGGCCUUUGAAAUUAUGUAUAGGUUGAGCAUUCCUCAUCAAAAAAUCCAAAAUCUAAAAUGCUCUAAAAUCAGAAGUUUUUGGGCACUGACAAGAUAUCACAGAUGGAAAAUUAUGCACCUGACUUCACAAGAUGGGUCACAGUCAAAACACAGACACACUAAAAUUGCUUUAUACAAUUACCUUCAUACUAUGUGUUUAAAUGUAUGUGAAUCAUAAAUGAAUUUCAUGUUUACACUUGGGCUCCAUCCUCAAUAUAUCUCAUAAGUGCAAAUAUUCCAAAAUCCAAAAAAAGAAAUGUGAAAUCUGUAAUAUUUCUGGUCCCAAGAACUUCAGAUAAGGAAUACCCAGCCUAGCCUCACUCUUCUCUGGGGCUGGCUUCAUGGCUGUGUGACCCAUGCUGUCACACAAGGUCCCCCACUGAGAAGGGCCUCACUCUUGGUUUAAUGCUCACUGUGUCCAUCUUGAAAUUUGACAUCUUUAACACAGAGACCACAUUUCCAUUGUAUACUGGGCCCACUGAUGAUGUGGGCAGUCCUGCCCACGGCAUUACAGACUUUAAAAGGUGCGCAGAGGAAAAGGGGAGGAGAGCACUGCAGGGUCACACUGUUCAUUUGUUGUAAAACCAGGCCCAGAAGUUUCAGUCCAAUGGUUUCCCACCACACACUGAGUUGAACUCUCUGGGUGGUCUCUGUUUAGGUCAAGAACUUCCUGUUCUGGCCCCUAAGCCCUGCCCCAGCCCGUGCCCUGAACCCCUGCAGGUGACCCCUGCAGGUACUCUGUGUGCUGAAACUACAGGUAACAGGGAGAAAUCAGGCAAUGACAUUAGAAUCCCAGUUCUACCCUUUCUGCUACUGAAGCUCUCUGAACUUUCUCUGACAAUAGAACCUGUUUUAGCGAUAGCGCGGUGACUAGAGAAAAUGAAUGUCAGGAGCCCAACAGAGUGUCAACCCAAGCUCGGUUUUCAGUUGUCACCAACUGGCAAAAUAUUUCAUUAAUUUUCAGACUUCCCUUCAUCUUCAGGUCCUCACUGUCCCUCGGCUCUUCCUCUGAGCAUCAGCUCCCCUUGUCCUGCCCUAGGAGUGAGGCAGUAGAAAUCCCCACGUUUGUGUUUGAGCUGCUGUCUAAAACUAUGGACAAGCAGGACUGGCCCCCCUGGGAACUCAAUGGAAAUGCAGAAUCUUGGGCUCCACCCAGAACCACUGAAUCAAAAUCUCCACUUUAACAAGACUCCCAGGUAAUGGGCACUCAGCUUCAAGGGAGAAACCACACGGUGAAGCUGCUCACAUCAUGGCAGCCGGGAAGCAGAGAGAGAAGGGGGCAGCUGGGGACAAGAACAUACACUUUCAGGUCAUGCCCCGCAGAACCUGCCUCUUCAACCAGGCCCACCUCCUAACAGAACAUUAGUGGAUUAAAGCCCAAUGAUCCAAUCACCUUCUAAAAGCCCCACCUCUGAAUAUGUGAGACUUUGGGGGACAUUUUAGAUCUGAAUCAUACAAAAAUUUUCACUAAGAAGAGUGAGAUUGUCCUGACAUCAGUUCACGUCUCUUUGUAGAGUUCACUCAAUGCCCUGUGAGUGUCGAGGUUGCCCUACAGUUAAAAGGUUAUAGCUUCAUAUUCUGGCCUGUUCACCUAGCAGUCACAGUGUGCCACUUUGGGCAAGCUGAUUAACCUUUGUGUACCUCGGUUUUCCCAUUUAUAAAAUGUCCUAUCUCAGAAGGUUUCCAUAAGGAUUAAAUGAAUUAAUGCAUGUGAAGUGUCUAGAACCAUGCCUGGUAUAUAGUGAACA